AGGAAGUAAGCACACAAACACAAAACAUUGUCAUCGUCACUGUUUGCCAGUAAGUAACUACUUUUACACGGAUGACUGUGUGUUUUUAAGUUUUUGUGAUAUCACAAAAAUGUUAAAAGGUCACAUUGUGUGUAUAUUCAAUUGAUUCGUUUUAAACUGUGACGCACUGUAGUCUAAUCCCUGAGGUUUGGCUGCAGCGCUUGCACAUCACUGCCCGGUUCCUUUCGCUAAUCCAUAGGACGCAGGUCUGGGUUGUGCGCAUGUACGUAUGUCACGAUCGUGUUUAACGUAACCACACACCAACAACAGAACCCACGCCGAUUAUCGGCGCGCGACAACGCGACACGAACGCGGAAAAGCGUUAUGGUGGCGGCGACACGCAUCGUCCCCGGUGUCCGCAGCACGGACUUCGGUCUCUCCCUUCCUCCCCCUCGGCCUGUCUGCUCCUCCACUAUUUAAAGCACAGUCUGGUGUUUAUAUGUAGAGCGCGUGACGUAACGUGGAGUAGCACCGUCCCAUCCCGGGCAGUCUAUAUUAGAGAGCCAAUAUGGCGGUAUAAAACCAGGCAGCGGAAAGGAGGAGGGUCAGACCCGGAGAGCGGGGAGACGUGGAAGCCAUUUUACAGAGCGGCGGGCUGCGCGCUCCGCCAGCCCCGCACUUUGAGCGGGAGCGGGAGGCAGUCGACCUGACCGGGGUGACAGCGGUGGUUUGGGGCGGCUGUCCCGCCGUUCUGCUCGUGGAAUGGAGGACAAUGAUGAGGCGUUUGACUGAGCGCCGACGACUUAACGCUUAAAGGAUACUUUUAACUGUGGAAGCGAGAUAAUAAAUAUAGUAAUUCAUUCGCAGUGGCUGAUGGCGAGGUGCUUUGCGUACAUCUGUAUUUGAAACGUUAUGCGAAAUAAAACCGUUUACCGUC
This is a long non-coding RNA of Betta splendens (Siamese fighting fish), 916 nucleotides long. RefSeq lists it as uncharacterized. Lineage: Eukaryota; Metazoa; Chordata; Actinopteri; Anabantiformes; Osphronemidae. The transcript is spliced from 2 exons. The record is from RefSeq and is a predicted model, not a curated record.